AGAGUUUGAUCCUGGCUCAGAAUUAACGCUGGCAGAGUGCAUAACACAUGCAAGUCGAGCGGAAUACGUAGCAAUACGUAUUUAGCGGCAGACGAGUGAGUAACACGUAAGCAAUCUACCCUCGAAUGGCGAAUAACUAGCCGAAAGGUUAGCUAAUACGCCGUACUCUCCUUGGAAGGCAUCUUCCGAGGAGGAUAGAC
RNAcentral lists this ribosomal RNA (200 nucleotides) under uncultured bacterium. RNAcentral's name for it is "partial 16S ribosomal RNA". It matches the Rfam family "Bacterial small subunit ribosomal RNA", at positions 8 to 208 of the family's 1533-position model. The record is from RNAcentral.